AUGCUAAGAACGUGCUGGAAGUUGACAGUGUGUGCAAAGUCCCUGGUCCUGCCCCUGCAGAGACUGCACAGUCGGGGGCGCCUUCUUCCGGGAGUAACCUGUGCCCGCGCAAAGUCACACCACGCGGUUACUUGGUCUUUCGUUGCUGUCAGUUUUCAUGUGUGGCGAGACACCCGCACGACCACAUUGACGCGUAGUCCUAAGUGUAUCCGAAAGGUGUGCCCCGAACAACGGCAUGUUCCGUCUUGCAAAAUCGGACUCCUGUCCCCGAUCAACAACAGACAGGGCCUCGUCCCCGCCCCCGCAGCCCCAGGCGCCCCCGCGCUGCUCUCUGUCUCCGUGAAGCUGACGACCCGAGAGAGACUCAGGCGAGCGGAGUCAGACAGCGUUGUCUCUGCAUCACUGGCUUAUCUCUCUGCGCAUCCUGCCUCCGAGGCCCAGCCCGGCUGCAGCCUGUGCGAGAGGCCCUUCCUCUUCGAGGCGGGGCCGGGCUCCGCUGUGUGCGUGGACCACGCCGUGUUUACCAUCGUCCCCGGGGUGAAGCGGGCUGGCAGGCCAGGCUUGCUCACGGGACUAUUGCACGUCUGUGGGAAGAGAUGUGAGUUCAAGUGAAGGAAUGUGCGUGGGCACACUCGUGCGCCGAGAGCGGUGAUUAUGCUAACGAGCGUCCCGAGGAUGCGGCCCCACGGCUGCCGUCCUUCUGACUCAGGCUGAGCGGCCGCCUUCCGAGGUGCUGUCAGCUUUGCACGUGCUGUCCUUCAGCCCCAUUAUCUUCCCGUCUUGUUCGAGUGCAGUUGUUUUCCUGAGGCCUCAGGGUGGGAUUGAUUUACUGAGCCUGGUAAAUCCCAUCUGCUAGCUUCAGACUGUCAUUCUCACCUGCCGAGGUCAUUGUGGUUGUUGACUCUGUCAUCUGCCCUUCUGCCCUGCUCUCCUGGGUUUAUGUCCUCUUCAUAUUUGAUAUCUCUGUCCCUCCGUCCAUCCAUCCGUCUGUCCACCCAUCCGUCCAUCUGUCCGUCCGUCCAUCCGUCCCUCUGUCUGUCCAGCGACUUUCUAUAGUGUACCCUACUGUGUGCAGCCUCUGUGCUAAGCUCUGGGUACAGGGGUGAGCAGAACAGAAAGGAAUCUGGGUUCUCCUGGAGCUUUCACUGGGGUAGAGAAGACAGACACUAAACCAAGACGCACGGGUUACGGGGACGGCAUGGUACUGACAGGUGCCACAGAGAAAAGGGAAGCGGGGACGACGGAUGGGGUGGGGGCAGCCAGAGGAAACCGUGCGGAAGGGUGGUGUCCGCGCGGAGACUGGAGGGUGUUUCUAUCCAGUUCUUUGGAAAACACGGUGAAGAGGAACUCAGCCUCUCUGUAGGUUGACGUUGAUGCAGUAACUGGCACCUUUGGGGUUCACCUGACUUUCCACUGAAACUCUAUACCUUCAGUGUCUAACCUGCAUUUCUCCACACUCUUCUGUUUUUUUUUUUUUUUUUUUUUUUUUACUUUUUAGGGCUGCGUGUGCGGCAUAUGGAAGUUCCCAGGGUAGGGGCCGAAUCAGAGCUUCAGCUGCCGGCACCACAGCCACAGCAACACCAGAUCCAAGCCGCAUUUGUGACCUACACCA
This 1612-nucleotide long non-coding RNA is filed under the name Sus scrofa (pig). Its description in RNAcentral is "lncRNA (ENSSSCG00050065149.1)". The record is from RNAcentral. Lineage: Eukaryota; Metazoa; Chordata; Mammalia; Artiodactyla; Suidae.